GCAAGUCUCUCUCAGCGAACCUCUCUGCACUGCUUAUCAUCAUUUUCAUCAAAGUCUAUUCACUGCGUGUUUGGUGUCCGAGGGGGCAGCAGCCUUGGUACUGGAAAUGCAAAAGAAAACAUGGAAGAAUACGAUGACAGAAGAGGAUCUAAAAAUGACUGGUGCAGACAAGCAUGUGCAAAUGGAGAAUCAAGAGGACCCCUGGCACAAUGGUCAGGCAUCGCUGGAGGGCAAGCAGGAUGCAAGAGGGUCAAGAGGCCUACUCACAUGCUGCAGCGAGCGGUGUUGUCCUACAUCAACUUCUUGGCCAAAUUGCCACUGCCCAGAAAGUUACUUCACUGCUGCGCAGUCCCUCAAGAUGCUCUCGGAAAACCCACAAAUGUGGUACCAUCACGGAAGGGGCAGCGGCACAUGCCCGAGCUGCCCCACAGCCAACGCUCACCUCCUGCUCUGAACCCUACAGUGACUCUACUUCUUAAAAACCCAAGAUGUUUCCCUCUGCCUCUUGUCUCUUUCUUCUUCCUGUUCUUUCUUCUUCUCCUCCUCCCUACACCUCCUCCCCACCCGUCUCGCCUUCAGAGGCUCUGGUGUUGGUAAGGCUCAGGGAAGGAGAGGAAGAGAGGUGUGAAAAGCUGGAAGCUUACUUCAAGGAGAUGGUGCGGUGCAGUCAAACAACCCUGCUAUUCUGCCCACACAGAGCAAGCAGAUUCCUGCCCUGAGAGGUUCGGUAAGUAGAUGAGAGAUUCCAGGGUGGUUGCAUUAACUGGCAUCACUCCUUGAGGAGGUAACACCAGAACUGCUCUCACACCACGGAUGGAUUUACUGCCUUCCAGAUGGCUGCUAAGGCUGGAUACCUGGUCUGGCAAACCCGGUGUAAGCAACAUCUGGACACCAAGUCCUUGUCUGUGACGUGGGGAGAAUGUAUCUAAUGUUCCUUCUACCACUGGUAUCUGGCUUUAGAUCCACCUCCAGGUUCCUACCCAAGGUCCACUGACUCUAAAAGACCCCAGGAUGAGCUCAGAAGGAGGAAGUGUGUGUGUGUAUUCAUCUGAAGAAAUGACCUAUAUUUUCAUGAGGCUCUGGAGUAGGGGGCAAAACCCUGAAAUUGUUAAGAAACACAAUCUCAUAGCUGAAGGAACCAGGAUUAAAGGGCAGUCAUGCAGAAAAAGGCACACACUGUAGUCUGCCUGGCCUCCCACGAAGGAACUGGAACUGGUGGGUGAAAAUACAGGAAGGCCAAUUUCAGCACAGUAUAAAAACCAAUGACUUGAGUGAUGCAGAAAUAAAGCAGACUAUCGCCCAAAUCACUGAAGUCCUUGUCACCAAAGUAUUUAAUCAACCACUCUCGUUGAUGUUGGGGUACAAGAAAGACUGAUGGCUGUGAGUCUGGUCCAGCUCUCAGCCAGCUGGACUGAAGGGAUGUUGUGGUUUCUGAGGCCCUCUCAGAUGAAACAGCGAGAAAAGAGAAACAUCAAACUGUACCUGUCCCAUGUUUGAAUUGUAGGAAAAAAUUCUAAGUGUGGGAAGCUGUUUGGACAGACUGCUUGUUGACCUUUCAAGUCUCCCAGUGGAAAAGGACAUCUUCAGUUGGUUUGUUAAACCUCUCAGCUCAAGUCUUCAAGAGUUUGGAAGAGCAGCUUUUAUCCCUCUGGCCCUGGGCUGGGCUGGAUCCUGCCCUGGUACCUGGAAGCUGCAAAACAUAUCUUUAUUUUUACUCUUUCAUGUACUUUUCCUCCACUGUAUUCUAUAUGAUACUAUGUGAAAUGUUUAUGGACUUUUUCCAAAAAUUUAUUUUUGCAGUAAAUGUAAGAAAAAGUUAAUUAUGUUUAUGCAGUUAUUUAUAAGUUAAAUUUUGUUUUCAUUGUUGUGGUGGUACUGGGGAUUAUACCCAGGGCCUUCACACUGAGCUAUAUCCCCAAAACUCUUUGUGGCUUUUUUUUUUUUUGAGAAGUUAUCCAGGUUAUCCAGGUUGGGCUUGAACUUAUGAUCCUCCUGCCUCAGCCUCCCAGAAUGCUGGGAUUAAAGGUGAGAGCCACCAUGCCUGGCUUAUAAAUUUAAUAUUUUAAAGAAAAUCU
RNAcentral lists this long non-coding RNA (2075 nucleotides) under Chinchilla lanigera (long-tailed chinchilla). RNAcentral describes it as "lncRNA (ENSCLAG00000027723.1)". The record is from RNAcentral. Lineage: Eukaryota; Metazoa; Chordata; Mammalia; Rodentia; Chinchillidae.